GGGGGAAUAUUGGACAAUGGGCGAAAGCCUGAUCCAGCAAUGCCGCGUGAGUGAUGAAGGCCUUAGGGUUGUAAAGCUCUUUUACCCGGGAUGAUAAUGACAGUACCGGGAGAAUAAGCUCCGGCUAACUCCGUGCCAGCAGCCGCGGUAAUACGGAGGGAGCUAGCGUUGUUCGGAAUUACUGGGCGUAAAGCGCACGUAGGCGGCUACUCAAGUCAGAGGUGAAAGCCCAGGGCUCAACCUUGGAACUGCCUUUGAAACUAGGUAGCUAGAAUUCUGGAGAGGUCAGUGGAAUUCCGAGUGUAGAGGUGAAAUUCGUAGAUAUUCGGAAGAACACCAGUGGCGAAGGCGACUGACUGGACAGAUAUUGACGCUGAGGUGCGAAAGCGUGGGGAGCAAGCAGAUUAGAUACC
This 413-nucleotide ribosomal RNA is filed under the name uncultured bacterium. RNAcentral's name for it is "bacterial SSU rRNA". It matches the Rfam family "Bacterial small subunit ribosomal RNA", at positions 355 to 786 of the family's 1533-position model. The record is from RNAcentral.